RNAcentral lists this ribosomal RNA (674 nucleotides) under Dactyloctenium geminatum. RNAcentral's name for it is "eukaryotic LSU rRNA". The stretch from base 254 to 409 matches the Rfam family "5.8S ribosomal RNA". The record is from RNAcentral. Lineage: Eukaryota; Viridiplantae; Streptophyta; Magnoliopsida; Poales; Poaceae.
ACCUGCGGAAGGAUCAUUGUCGUGACCCUGACCAAAACAGACCGUGAACGCGUCAUCCAUGGUGCCGGUUGACGGGGCUCGCACCCGUCUCUCGGUAGGGGCAGCCGACCUUCCUUCGGAGGGGGAGGGAGGGGGCCCCAAAAGAACCCACGGCACCGUAUGGUGUCAAGGAGGACCAAUAUUUGCCAAUUUGCUCGGGUCGAGACCGGCUAGCCGGAGGAACCCCUUGCAGCGAUGCUAAGUUAACCCACAUGACUCUCGGCAACGGAUAUCUUGGCUCUCGCAUCGAUGAAGAACGUAGCAAAAUGCGAUACCUGGUGUGAAUUGCAGAAUCCCGUGAACCAUCGAGUUUUUGAACGCAAGUUGCGCCCGAGGCCUCCUGACCGAGGGCACGUCUGCCUGGGCGUCACGCCAGUAUACAACUCCCCACCCAUCCCGGUGCGGACGUGGUGUCCGGCCCCUCGUGCCUCCGGGCGCGGUGGGCCAAAGUUGGGGCUGCCGGCCGUGCCGAUCACAGCACGAGGUGGAUGACGCAUGUUGUUCUCAGUGUGCUAAAAUCGGUACAGCUUCGUGUGACCCUCGGGACCCCCAUUUGACCGAAGGUGCAUGUUACUCGGACCACGACCCCAGGUCAGUCGGGACUACCCGCUGAAUUUAAGCAUAUCAAUAAGCGG